RNAcentral lists this ribosomal RNA (465 nucleotides) under uncultured bacterium. RNAcentral describes it as "partial 16S ribosomal RNA". It matches the Rfam family "Bacterial small subunit ribosomal RNA", at positions 28 to 507 of the family's 1533-position model. The record is from RNAcentral.
GACGAACGCUGGCGGCGUGCUUAACACAUGCAAGUCGAACGGAAAGGCCCCUUUGGGGGUCCUCGAGUGGCGAACGGGUGAGUAACACGUGAGUAACCUGCCCUUGACUUCGGGAUAACUUCAGGAAACUGGGGCUAAUACCGGAAAGGAAUCCUUGCUGCAUGGUGGGGGUUGGAAAGCUUCGGCGGUUUUGGAUGGACUCGCGGCUUAUCAGCUUGUUGGUGGGGUAGUGGCUUACCAAGGCUUUGACGGGUAGCCGGCCUGAGAGGGCGACCGGCCACAUUGGGACUGAGAUACGGCCCAGACUCCUACGGGAGGCAGCAGUGGGGAAUAUUGCACAAUGGGCGGAAGCCUGAUGCAGCAACGCCGCGUGCGGGAUGACGGCCUUCGGGUUGUAAACCGCUUUCAGCAGGGGCGAAGCUUGUGGUGACGGUACCUGCAGAAGAAGCACCGGCUAACUACGUG